UACGUAGGGGGCAAGCGUUGUCCGGAAUCAUUGGGCGUAAAGCGCGUGUAGGCGGCCCGGUAAGUCCGCUGUGAAAGUCGGGGGCUCAACCCUCGGAUGCCGGUGGAUACUGUCGGGCUCGAGUACGGAAGAGGCGAGUGGAAUUCCUGGUGUAGCGGUGAAAUGCGCAGAUAUCAGGAGGAACACCGAUUGCGAAGGCAGCUCGCUGGGACGUGACUGACGCUGAGACGCGAAAGCGUGGGGAGCAAACAGG
Molecule: ribosomal RNA, 253 nt
Filed under: uncultured bacterium
Lineage: Bacteria
Description: partial 16S ribosomal RNA
Rfam family: Bacterial small subunit ribosomal RNA
Source: RNAcentral